CCUACGGGAGGCUGCAGUGAGGAAUAUUGGUCAAUGGACGAGAGUCUGAACCAACCAAGUAGCGUGAAGGAUGACUGCCCUAUGGGUUGUAAACUUCUUUUAUAUGGGAAUAAAAUGUUCCACGUGUGGGAUUUUGUAUGUACCAUAUGAAUAAGGAUCGGCUAACUCCGUGCCAGCAGCCGCGGUAAUACGGAGGAUCCGAGCGUUAUCCGGAUUUAUUGGGUUUUAAGGGAGCGUAGGUGGAUUGUUAAGUCAGUUGUGAAAGUUUGCGGCUCAACCGUAAAAUUGCAGUUGAAACUGGCAGUCUUGAGUGCAGUAGAGGUGGGCGGAAUUCGUGGUGUAGCGGUGAAAUGCUUAGAUAUCACGAAGAACUCCGAUUGCGAAGGCAGCUCACUGGACUGCAACUGACACUGAGGCUCGAAAGUGUGGGUAUCGAACAGGAUUAGAUACCCGUGUAGUC
RNAcentral lists this ribosomal RNA (460 nucleotides) under uncultured bacterium. RNAcentral's name for it is "partial 16S ribosomal RNA". It matches the Rfam family "Bacterial small subunit ribosomal RNA", at positions 338 to 795 of the family's 1533-position model. The record is from RNAcentral.